UAAAGUUUGUGUAACUGAUGUAGAGAAGAUGGACAACAGGUGCCUCCAUAUGUGAAUGAUACCUAGGCAAGAACUCAGCCUAUCUUGUGUGUCUUCCAGCCCAGAUUUCAGAACCAAAGCUCAUCACAAGGAAGCAACCUGCAAACCCAACAUUUUCUAAGAUAGAGUGGAUAGAGUUUUGAAAGAAGGUGAACAUUCUGCAUGUCAAGAUCUACUUUAAAUACUUUUCUGAAUAAAUAGAUUGAUGGAAAAAUUCACAGCAGGAGAUGGAUAUUUAAACGUGGAACAGAGAGAUGCAGGGAUGCAGGAGUCAUCUGUGCUUGGAAGUUUAUUGCUGUUCUGAUGUUGAAGGAUACUAUGCCAAGUGACCACACAGAGGGCAUGGUGUACUGCCCUUGUCUAGGUCAUGCUUAACUUUGCCUGGGUCUUCACUACUUUGAAUGCCUUUUCCCACAUUUUCACCAAUAAAAUGACUCCUUCCAUGAAAAAUUUUAAGUUGAUGAAGAAGUUUAGGGGCUCCCAUUAUAACUGUUGCACACAUAUAGUUUAUCCUUUAUCCGUUUUAGACUAAUGUUUGACCUGCGUGUCAUCUGCUCCUUUUAGAUAGUAAGUUUCUUGAAAGCUGGAACUCGACUUUUUCAGCUACUACGGUUUGAGUGUUUUUGUGUCCUCCAAAAUUCAUGUUGAAAGUUAAUCCACAAUGUGAUACUAUUAAGAGGUUGGGCCUUUAGAGGUGAUGAGGUCAUGAAGGCUCUGCCCUUACAAAUGGGAUUAGUGCCCUUAUAAAAGGGCUUGAGGGAGUCUCCUUGGACCAUUCUGCCCUUCUUACAUUUAAGAACGCAGUGUUCCUCUCUUCUUGGAUAUGAGAAUAUAGAAAGAAGGCACCAUCUUGGAAGCAGAGAGUGAGAUCCCAUCAGACACUGAAUCUACUUGCACCUGGAGCUUGGACUUCAAAACCCCUAGAACUAUGGGAAACAAAUUUCUAUUAUUUAUAGAUAAGGUAUUUUGUCUAAGGUAUUUUGUUAUAGCAGCUGAAACAGACUGAUACCCUAACUUUGAAUAUUUUACAUUAUUAUGCAUGGUAUAUUGCAAAGUAUAUUGCAUGAUUUUAUAUAUAUAUAUAUGUAUGUUAUAGUAUAUAGUAAUAUAGUAGGUUUGUGUUCUGUCUUCUGUACAGGAAUUUAUAUAACUCAUCUAUAUAGAGUUCUUGGCACGUAAAAAACCCUCAGUGAUGAUUUACAAUUGGAUUAAAUAACGCCAUCAGUGCUCAGGAAGUGGCCCAACCAUUUCUAGGCAUUCUAUGAAGAAGAAACUCAUGAAUAAUUGAGGGAAUGAAAGAAAGAAUGUUUUCUCCUUUCAGAAAUUCUCAAACACACUAGUGUGUUCUGAGAAAUCAAAAUUUGCAUCUAAUUUACAAA
This is a long non-coding RNA of Callithrix jacchus (white-tufted-ear marmoset), 1418 nucleotides long. RefSeq lists it as uncharacterized. NCBI's taxonomy places the organism in Eukaryota, Metazoa, Chordata, Mammalia, Primates, Cebidae. The record is from RefSeq and is a predicted model, not a curated record.